UACGUAGGGGGCAAGCGUUGUCCGGAAUCAUUGGGCGUAAAGAGCGCGUAGGCGGUCCGGUAAGUCCGCUGUGAAAGUCAAGGGCUCAACCCUUGAAUGCCGGUGGAUACUGUCGGGCUAGAGUCCGGAAGAGGCGAGUGGAAUUCCUGGUGUAGCGGUGAAAUGCGCAGAUAUCAGGAGGAACACCUAUUGCGAAGGCAGCUCGCUGGGACGUAACUGACGCUGAGACGCGAAAGCGUGGGGAGCAAACAGG
This 253-nucleotide ribosomal RNA is filed under the name uncultured bacterium. RNAcentral's name for it is "partial 16S ribosomal RNA". It matches the Rfam family "Bacterial small subunit ribosomal RNA", at positions 524 to 776 of the family's 1533-position model. The record is from RNAcentral.